CCUAGGGAGGCAGCAGUGGGGAAUAUUGCACAAUGGGCGCAAGCCUGAUGCAGCGACGCCGCGUGCGGGAUGGAGGCCUUCGGGUUGUAAACCGCUUUUGUUCAAGGGCAAGGCACGGUCUUUGGCCGUGUUGAGUGGAUUGUUCGAAUAAGCACCGGCUAACUACGUGCCAGCAGCCGCGGUAAUACGUAGGGUGCAAGCGUUAUCCGGAUUUAUUGGGCGUAAAGGGCUCGUAGGCGGUUCGUCGCGUCCGGUGUGAAAGUCCAUCGCUUAACGGUGGAUCCGCGCCGGGUACGGGCGGGCUUGAGUGCGGUAGGGGAGACUGGAAUUCCCGGUGUAACGGUGGAAUGUGUAGAUAUCACGCAGAACCCCGAUUGCGAAGGCAGCAUGCCGGCUUCCGACUGACGCUGAAGCACGAAAGCGUGGGGAUCGAACAGGAUUAGAUACCCUAGUAGUC
RNAcentral lists this ribosomal RNA (457 nucleotides) under uncultured bacterium. RNAcentral's name for it is "partial 16S ribosomal RNA". It matches the Rfam family "Bacterial small subunit ribosomal RNA", at positions 338 to 795 of the family's 1533-position model. The record is from RNAcentral.